ACGAACGCUGGCGGCGUGCUUAACACAUGCAAGUCGAACGGAAAGGCCCUGCUUUUGUGGGGUGCUCGCGUGGCGAACGGGUGAGUAACACGUGAGUAACCUGCCCUUGACUUUGGGAUAACUUCAGGAAACUGGGGCUAAUACCGGAUAGGCGCUCCUGCUGCAUGGUGGGGGUUGGAAAGUUUCGGCGGUUGGGGAUGGACUCGCGGCUUAUCAGCUUGUUGGUGGGGUAGUGGCUUACCAAGGCUUUGACGGGUAGCCGGCCUGAGAGGGUGACCGGCCACAUUGGGACUGAGAUACGGCCCAGACUCCUACGGGAGGCAGCAGUGGGGAAUAUUGCACAAUGGGAGGAAGCCUGAUGCAGCAACGCCGCGUGCGGGAUGACGGCCUUCGGGUUGUAAACCGAUUUCGCCUGUGACGAAGCGUGAGUGACGGUAAUGGGUAAAGAAGCACCGGCUAACUACGUG
This 467-nucleotide ribosomal RNA is filed under the name uncultured bacterium. RNAcentral's name for it is "partial 16S ribosomal RNA". It matches the Rfam family "Bacterial small subunit ribosomal RNA", at positions 29 to 507 of the family's 1533-position model. The record is from RNAcentral.